RNAcentral lists this long non-coding RNA (4281 nucleotides) under Homo sapiens (human). RNAcentral describes it as "HSALNT0262500". The record is from RNAcentral. Lineage: Eukaryota; Metazoa; Chordata; Mammalia; Primates; Hominidae.
ACGCUUGCGGCGAGACUCUCCUGCGGGAGCGGGAGGCUUGGGCCUCUCAGGAGGGCACAGGUACGGGGCGCGGGGCGACAGAGGCAGAAACCCAGGCAGCCCCAGACGGCGAGCAGGGCGGGAGAGUGGAAGGGAGGGAGAAGACGGAGAAACAGCGACUGCGACGGGCACAGAGGGAGGACAGAAACGCUGCCCCUUAGGUGGGGAGUGAAACCUCCCGUGAGGGAGCGGCGAGGGCGGCGGGGACGGUGAGAAACGGACAGAGGAGCCCGCGGGAGACAGAAACGGAGGGAAGGGGGCUGACCAUGAGAGAAACGAGGGGGAGAGAGAAGAGAGCACGCGGGAGACUGCAGGGAAGGCGCGGGAGAUGGAGACUCAGAAAACAACCGUAAGAGACAAAGGAAAAGAUACCACAGCGCUGGGCCUGGGGAGAGAACGCAGUGAGAAAUGGAGACGAUGAGAGUAUGAGGUGAUAUAGCAAAACCGACCGUGAAAAAUCGAGUGAGAAGCAGGUGGCGAAGCUGAGAACUGAAAGUGAAAGACAAGAGGACGGAAGAUACAGAAACAGUUUGGGCCCAGUGGCUCCCGCCUGCAAUUCCAGCACUUUGGGAGGCCGCAGCAAGCCGAUGACUUGAGCCCAAGAGUUUGAGACCAGCCUGGGCAACAUAGUGAGAACCCAUCUCGACAAAAAAUCAGGCCGGGAGCAGUGGCUCACCCCUGUAAUCCCAGCACUUUGGGAGGCCGAGGCAGGCGGAUCACGAGGUCAGGAAUUUGAGACCAGCCUGGCCAACAUGGUGAAACCCGUCUCUACUAAAAAUACAAAAAUUAGCCGGGAGUGGUGGCACACGCCUGUAAUCCCAGCUAUUCAGGAGGCUGAGGCAGGAGAAUCACUUGAACCCGGGAGGUGGAGGUUGCAGUGAGCCGAGACCACGCCACUGCACUCCAGCCUGGGCAACACAGCAAGACUCUGUCUCAAAAAAAAAAAUUAGCCAGGCAUGGUGGUGUGCAUCUGUAAUCCCAGCUAUUCAGGAGGCUGAGGUCGGAGGAUCACCUGAGCCUGGGAGUUCAAGGCUGCAGUGAACUGAGAUCGCACCACUGCACUUCAGCCUGGGCAACAGAGCAAGAUCCUGUCUCAAAAAAGAGAGAGAGAAAUUUACCAUGAAAAAUGGAGUGAGAAACAGAGGUGGUGAAGGUGAGAUCUGAAAGAAAAGUGAAAGACUGAGGGGGAAAGACAGAUAAAUUGACCAGGAAAAACUAGGUGAGAAACAGAGAUGAGAGUGUGAGACUGAUAAUGAAACAAAAAGACAGAAGGACAAGGGAGAAAAAAAUAAAGAGAAACUGACCACGAAAACUGGAGUGAGAAAUAGAUGUAAUGAGGGUGAGAAAUUGAAAAAGAAAGACAGGGAAAAAGAAAUGAUGGGAAUAUGAAACUGACAACGAAAGAAAAAAAAUGAGAAAGAUGGUGAGAGAGAGCAAAAGAAAUUACCAUGAAAAAAAUACGGCAUAAAGACGAGUGUGAGAAAUUGAAAAUGAAAGGCAAAAAGAGAUUGGCACAGAGAAGAAAAGAUAGAGAAUUUGAUCAUGGAAAAUGAAGUGAGGCCAGGCAUGGUGGCUCACACUUAUAAACCCAGACAUAAGCCCAGCACUUUGAGAGAGUGAGACAGGAGGAUCGCCUGAGCUCAGGAGUUUGAGACCAGCCUGGGCAACAUAGUGAGCCCGUCUCUACAAAAAUUAAAAAUGAGCCGGGUGUGGUGGCGCACAUCUGUAGUCCCACCUUUUCAGGAAGCUGAGGCAGGAGGAUCGCUUGGGCCCGGGCAGUCAAGGCUGCAGUGAGCUGAGAUCACACCACUGCACUCCAUCCUGGGCAAUACAGAGAUAGAGAUGAUGAGGGUGAGAAAUGGAUAAUGAAAAAAAGAGACCAACAGCAAGUGAGAAACAGGAGCAGAGAUGGAUUCGCAGGGAUCCUGAGAGAUGGGGAUACAAGGAAGACAGGCAAAGAAAAAGGCAGAAGAAUGUGGUGACAGUGAUGUGGGGGCCAAAGCGGGGCGUGGUCCCAGGUGUGGAAGGAGCUGCAGCAGCAAGACAGAGGCCAUAGAGCAGAGGGGGAUGGAGCUGUGGCCCUGGAGGCUGAUUCUGCUGGCCAGAGGGAGGGGAUGGCCAGGGUAAGGAGAGAAGCUGCACUCCAGGAGUCCCCACCUCUGAGCCAUACCAGGCCCGGACCAGAGCGUGAGCUUCAAGAAUGGAGGUCCUUGCUGCUGCUCUUCCCUCCCCUUUUGGAAUCUUCUGGAGCAACUCUGGGAUCUCCCCACCCCGACCCCUCAUACCCAGUUCUUUAGAGUCGACCAUGGUGCCGUCACCUGGCCCCACCCUGACUCCAUUCUCCUGGCCACCCCCGACAACCCCACCACCGCCGCCAUGCCCUGGUACCAGUGCAGAACACUGGCAGUCACACUUGCAGAGGGCUUGGUGGCCAGCUCUCCCGGGAGCCAGGCAUCCCGAUCUCUCCCCAGUCCAGGAAUCCAGCUCCAGCUGAAGGGGUCUGAGAUGGAGUCCAGGCCUGGGGGCCCUGGAAGGUGAGUGGGGCAGGAAGAGAAGACAGAGACACCAUGAUGACAAGAUCAUCUACCCAGGCCCCUCCUUCUCUCCAGUCACUCACCCAGUUCCCAUUCAUUCAUCAUUCAUUCAUUUAUUGUCACAAAUAUUUAUUGAGCACCUCCUAUGAGCCACACACCAUAUUAGACCCUCGGGUAGCCUAUGGCAAGCCAAACCCGACACUGCCCCCGCCUUCUUGGCAUUUACAAUCUGGACAUAACUGACCCCCUCACCCUUUCACACCUGACCUCUCCUCUCCAUCUCCUCAGCUUCUGCUCUGAGUCAGGGCCUCAUUUCCUAUACCUUCUGACAGGUCUCCCUACCUCCCUGUCAAUUCUUACUGACCACCAGUGGGGUACCCAGGUCCGACAGGCCACUCCCGAACUCAGAAUCCUUCUGUGGUGCCCCCGUGGCCCUCAGGAAGACGGGGACAGAGGGAAGAGCCGUAGCUUCCAGCAGAGGUGAUGCCUCCAUCCUUUGAGACACCACUCUCCAUCUUCCAUCUUUCUGAUUAGCACACGUGUGCAGUAAAGGAUUAACCCUGCCCAAAGAAAGGUUUCGCCUUUUCCCCGGCUCCUGGGAGAUGACUUCGAAGCCUUUGGAACACCUUGCCUGAUAAGAGAUUUUUUUCCCUGGGGCACUUGGGCCAUGCCAGAUCGCCUAUGCUAACAGUGUGAUUUAUGGUCAGCCACAUGUACGUGGCCAAGUCCCCACGAACACUCUGGAUGCCAAGGCUUGGGGGAACUUCCCUAGUUGGCAGUUCCUCAUGUGUGUUGUCCCACUUCGUUGCUGGGAUAAUGAAGUGCUGUCUGCAUAACUCCACUGGGACAGGACAGUUGGAAGCUCACACCUACUGUCUCCUGAGCCCUGCCUCAGGCGCCUCUUCCCUUGGCUGAUUUUAAUCUGUAUCCUUUCACUGUGAUAAACGAUAACGCUGAGUGUAACAGAUUCUUUGAUUCUAAGAGUUCUUCUAGCAAAUUAUUGAGUCUGACAGUGGUCUUGGUAACCUCAAACUAUAACGAGUCACACAGGUUUGCAAUGAUUUGUUAGAGUAUUUCUCUACAUGAGCUGUGAGCUAUUCAAAGACCAAGACCAUGUUCAUUCCAUUCAUGAGCCCAGCAUGAGGACCCUGCACCUGGCUCAGCCUCUGCAAUUUAAUAACAGGCAUUGCCUGAGUUUAUGUUAACUGGCUCUCACUUUGGCUUCUUUCCAUCUCCCAGUGCCCUGCCUGCUUCCUUUCAUCGUAGGAAAGCUAAAGCUCCUUUCUUAGUGGGAAAUUUCCUUGAUUCCUGGAAGGAAGAGGAAGCAGAAGCUUCUCUGAGUGGGAAUCCCAGAUCUGCCAGUUAGUUGUUGCUGUGUGAUCUUGAGCAAGUUACCCAACCUCUCUGUGCCUCAGCUUCUUUAUCAGUAAAAUGGGCAUAACACACACCACCCUAGACUUAUUAUGUGAUUUCAAUGUGGUUAUAUGUGCAAAAACACCCAGCACAGGGCUGGGGCUUAGGAAGCACUCAAUCAAUGUUAGUGCCCAUGUUAGUUACUGUUCCCCUCCAGGAAGCCCUCCUGGAGUCAACAGAUAGCUAGGGCCUCCUUACCAGUGCAGGUGACCCCAACAUCCUCAUUGUGAGCGCAGUUGUGCUUUCCCCAGGGAGCAGCAGGGCAGUCGGACAGUGAAGCCUCGGUCCCCACACA